GACGAACGCUGGCGGCGUGCUUAACACAUGCAAGUCGAACGGAAAGGCCCUGCUUUUGUGGGGUGCUCGAGUGGCGAACGGGUGAGUAACACGUGAGUAACCUGCCCUUGACUUUGGGAUAACUUCAGGAAACUGGGGCUAAUACCGGAUAGGAGCUCCUGCUGCAUGGUGGGGGUUGGAAAGUUUCGGCGGUUGGGGAUGGACUCGCGGCUUAUCAGCUUGUUGGUGGGGUAGUGGCUUACCAAGGCUUUGACGGGUAGCCGGCCUGAGAGGGUGACCGGCCACAUGGGGACUGAGAUACGGCCCAGACUCCUACGGGAGGCAGCAGUGGGGAAUAUUGCAGAAUGGGCGGAAGCCUGAUGCAGCAACGCCGCGUGCGGGAUGAUGGCCUUCGGGUUGUAAACCGAUUUCGCCUGUGACGAAGCGUGAGUGACGGUAAUGGGUAAAGAAGCACCGGCUAACUACGUG
This 468-nucleotide ribosomal RNA is filed under the name uncultured bacterium. RNAcentral's name for it is "partial 16S ribosomal RNA". It matches the Rfam family "Bacterial small subunit ribosomal RNA", at positions 28 to 507 of the family's 1533-position model. The record is from RNAcentral.